CGACCGGCGCACGGGUGAGUAACGCGUAUCCAACCUGCCUUACACUCUUGGACAGCCUUCUGAAAGGGAGAUUAAUACAAGAUGUUAUCAUGAGUAAGCAUUUUCGCGUGAUUAAAGGUUUACCGGUGUAAGAUGGGGAUGCGUUCCAUUAGAUAGUAGGCGGGGUAACGGCCCACCCAGUCUUCGAUGGAUAGGGGUUCUGAGAGGAAGGUCCCCCACAUUGGAACUGAGACACGGUCCAA
This 242-nucleotide ribosomal RNA is filed under the name uncultured bacterium. Its description in RNAcentral is "partial 16S ribosomal RNA". It matches the Rfam family "Bacterial small subunit ribosomal RNA", at positions 92 to 334 of the family's 1533-position model. The record is from RNAcentral.